RNAcentral lists this ribosomal RNA (384 nucleotides) under uncultured organism. RNAcentral's name for it is "bacterial SSU rRNA". It matches the Rfam family "Bacterial small subunit ribosomal RNA", at positions 45 to 433 of the family's 1533-position model. The record is from RNAcentral.
UGCUUCACACAUGCAAGUCGAACGGUAGCAGGCCUUCGGGCGCUGACGAGUGGCGGACGGGUGAGUAAUGCAUAGGAAUCUGCCUAUUAGUGGGGGACAACGUGGGGAAACUCACGCUAAUACCGCAUACGCCCUACGGGGGAAAGCUGGGGACCUUCGGGCCUGGCGCUAAUAGAUGAGCCUAUGUUGGAUUAGCUGGUUGGUAGGGUAAAGGCCUACCAAGGCGACGAUCCAUAGCUGGUCUGAGAGGAUGAUCAGCCACACUGGGAAUGAGACACGGCCCAGACUCCUACGGGAGGCAGCAGUGGGGAAUUUUGGACAAUGGGCGAAAGCCUGAUCCAGCCAUGCCGCGUGAGUGAAGAAGGCCUUCGGGUUGUAAAGCUC